UCUUCCGAUCUGGAAGAGCCGACCAAGCAGUUAUGAAAGUUUAUGAACGAUUGCCGCUACAUCCACUUAUGUGAAAGAGUACGAGCGAAAAUGUUUACGUGAAACAA
Drosophila subpulchrella is the source of this 107-nucleotide long non-coding RNA. RefSeq lists it as uncharacterized. The record is from RefSeq and is a predicted model, not a curated record. NCBI's taxonomy places the organism in Eukaryota, Metazoa, Arthropoda, Insecta, Diptera, Drosophilidae. The transcript is spliced from 3 exons.